AACGAACGCUGGCGGCAUGCCUAAUACAUGCAAGUCGAACGAGAUCUUCGGAUCUAGUGGCGCACGGGUGCGUAACGCGUGGGAAUCUGCCCUUGGGUUCGGAAUAACUUCUGGAAACGGAAGCUAAUACCGGAUGAUGACGUAAGUCCAAAGAUUUAUCGCCCAAGGAUGAGCCCGCGUAGGAUUAGGUAGUUGGUGAGGUAAAGGCUCACCAAGCCGACGAUCCUUAGCUGGUCUGAGAGGAUGAUCAGCCACACUGGGACUGAGACACGGCCCAGACUCCUACGGGAGGCAGCAGUAGGGAAUAUUGGACAAUGGGCGAAAGCCUGAUCAAGCAAUGCCGCGUGAGUGAUGAAGGCCUUAGGGUUGUAAAGCUCUUUUACCCGGGAUGAUAAUGACAGUACCGGGAGAAUAAGCUCCGGCUAACUACGUG
This 433-nucleotide ribosomal RNA is filed under the name uncultured bacterium. RNAcentral's name for it is "partial 16S ribosomal RNA". It matches the Rfam family "Bacterial small subunit ribosomal RNA", at positions 29 to 507 of the family's 1533-position model. The record is from RNAcentral.